AUACGGAGGAUCCAAGCGUUAUCCGGAAUCAUUGGGUUUAAAGGGUCCGUAGGCGGGUUUAUAAGUCAGUGGUGAAAGUUUGCGGCUCAACCGUAAAAUUGCCAUUGAUACUGUAGAUCUUGAAUUAGUGUGAAGUGAUUAGAAUAAGUAGUGUAGCGGUGAAAUGCAUAGAUAUUACUUAGAAUACCAAUUGCGAAGGCAGGUCACUAACACUAUAUUGACGCUGAGGGACGAAAGCGUGGGGAGCGAACAGGAUUAGAAACCCCAGUAGUCC
RNAcentral lists this ribosomal RNA (274 nucleotides) under uncultured bacterium. RNAcentral describes it as "partial 16S ribosomal RNA". It matches the Rfam family "Bacterial small subunit ribosomal RNA", at positions 523 to 796 of the family's 1533-position model. The record is from RNAcentral.